RNAcentral lists this ribosomal RNA (258 nucleotides) under uncultured Staphylococcus sp. RNAcentral's name for it is "partial 16S ribosomal RNA". It matches the Rfam family "Bacterial small subunit ribosomal RNA", at positions 103 to 355 of the family's 1533-position model. Lineage: Bacteria; Bacillati; Bacillota; Bacilli; Caryophanales; Staphylococcaceae. The record is from RNAcentral.
CGGGUGAGUAACACGUGGAUAACCUACCUAUAAGACUGGGAUAACUUCGGGAAACCGGAGCUAAUACCGGAUAAUAUUUUGAACCGCAUGGUUCAAAAGUGAAAGACGGUCUUGCUGUCACUUAUAGAUGGAUCCGCGCUGCAUUAGCUAGUUGGUAAGGUAACGGCUUACCAAGGCAACAUGCAUAGCCGACCUGAGAGGGUGAUCGGCCACACUGGGACUGAGACACGGUCCAGACUCCUACGGGAGGCAGCAGCC